UGCGGACAUAUCAUAACGAAGAGAUAUCGUAAUUGAAGAGGUUUGGAAAGACCCACCACAGAAGGUAAUAGUCCUGUAUGUUAAACGAGAAGACUUUAGAUAUGAUCCAAAGUACCACGGGACACGUGAAACCCUGUGGGAAGCAGGAGGGACCACCCUCCAAGGCUAAAUACUACCUAGUGACCGAUAGCGUAUAGUACCGUGAGGGAAAGG
Molecule: ribosomal RNA, 213 nt
Filed under: Clostridioides difficile
Lineage: Bacteria; Bacillati; Bacillota; Clostridia; Peptostreptococcales; Peptostreptococcaceae
Description: partial 23S ribosomal RNA
Rfam family: Bacterial large subunit ribosomal RNA
Source: RNAcentral